This 232-nucleotide long non-coding RNA is filed under the name Capsicum annuum. RNAcentral describes it as "long non-coding RNA (CANN_LNC018957)". The record is from RNAcentral. Lineage: Eukaryota; Viridiplantae; Streptophyta; Magnoliopsida; Solanales; Solanaceae.
CAACAUACAACUCCCUUACUUAAGUUGUACCUUCAUCAUAUGAUAAGUACCCUCAAACUGUAUCCAAGACAGAUUCAAAAUGGGUUGAGCACGGUCCAACAUAUGAAUGGCAUGACUCUCUCGUACCAUCUCCAUAUGACUCGUAUGGAGUAUAGUCAUACUUAGGACAGUACAUAAUCAAGAACACACUGCUUAACAUAUGACUUGUGCCUGCUAGGUCAUGCCCAAAUCA